UACGUGAAACCGUUCAGGGGUAAACGGGAGAAAUCCUGAAUUCGAAAGGGGUGGAUUCAGCUCUAUACGGAUGCUUACUCAGGCUCCAACACCCCGGAUGGUGCCGGUCGCCCGCGGCGAUUCAUUUCGUUGGCGGUGUCGUUCCGGCAAUCACCGGGUCGUGCUGGUACGUACUCUGGCACCGGAAGUGUGCACUUCCCCCCUAGUAGAAACGUCGCGACCCGUUGGGUGCCGGUCUAAGGCCUGGGAUGGCAGACCAUGUGUCCUGUGAGGGUUCUCACAGGCGCGUGGACUCCUGGAGACCCGGCCGGCUGCCCGACGGUAUGACCAGAGGAGUCGAUCCGCUAAAUGGGAAACACUAUGGUUGUGAAGCGUCCGGCCUGGUUCCGAUGCGUGCGGGGAUUGAGGGUAAAACCGGGGGUGCCCGUGCGAAGCACGGCCCCGGCCCCGUUGCGUUUUCGGUUCCGGUGUCCUCGGACUGGAUCGUUACUCCCGUCGGCGACGCCCACCUUCGGA
This 516-nucleotide ribosomal RNA is filed under the name Carausius morosus (Indian stick insect). Its description in RNAcentral is "eukaryotic LSU rRNA". The record is from RNAcentral. Lineage: Eukaryota; Metazoa; Arthropoda; Insecta; Phasmatodea; Lonchodidae.